UACGGAGGGUGCAAGCGUUGUCCGGAUUUAUUGGGUUUAAAGGGCGCGUAGGCGGUCAACUAAGUCAGUGGUGAAAGGCAGCAGCUCAACUGUUGCACUGCCAUUGAUACUGGAUGACUUGAGUACAGACGAGGUAGGCGGAAUUUAUGGUGUAGCGGUGAAAUGCAUAGAUACCAUAAAGAACACCGAUUGCGAAGGCAGCUUACUAGGCUGUAACUGACGCUGAGGCACGAAAGCGUGGGGAUCGAACAGG
Molecule: ribosomal RNA, 253 nt
Filed under: uncultured bacterium
Lineage: Bacteria
Description: partial 16S ribosomal RNA
Rfam family: Bacterial small subunit ribosomal RNA
Source: RNAcentral